This 191-nucleotide small nuclear RNA is filed under the name Echinops telfairi (small Madagascar hedgehog). RNAcentral describes it as "U2 spliceosomal RNA (ENSETEG00000022121.1)". It matches the Rfam family "U2 spliceosomal RNA". Rfam says of the family: U2 is a small nuclear RNA (snRNA) component of the spliceosome (involved in pre-mRNA splicing). Complementary binding between U2 snRNA (in an area lying towards the 5' end but 3' to hairpin I) and the branchpoint sequence (BPS) of the intron results the bulging out of an unpaired adenosine, on the BPS, which initiates a nucleophilic attack at the intronic 5' splice site, thus starting the first of two transesterification reactions that mediate splicing. The record is from RNAcentral. Lineage: Eukaryota; Metazoa; Chordata; Mammalia; Afrosoricida; Tenrecidae.
AUCACUUUUCAGCCUUUUGGCUAAGAUCAAGUGUAGUAUCUGUUCUUAUCAGUUUAAUAUUUGAUACGUCCUCUAUCUGAGGACAAUAUAUUAAAUGGAUUUUUGGAGCAGGGAGAUGAAAUAGGAGCUUGCUCUGUCCACUCCACGCAUCAACCUGGUAUUGUAGUACUUCCAGGAAUGGUGCACCCCCC